AUUGAACGCUGGCGGCAGGCCUAACACAUGCAAGUAGAGCGGAGCGGCGGACGGGCGAGUAAUGCCUAGGACUCUGCCUGGUAGUGGGGGAUAACGUCUGGACACGGGCGCUAAAACCGCAUACUCUCAGAUGAGCCUAGGUCGGAUUGGCAAGAGGGUGGGGUAAAGGCCGACCAAGGUGACGAACCGUAACUGGUCUGAGAGGAUGAUCAGUCACACUGGAACUGAGACACGGUCCAGACUCCUGCGGCAGACAGCAGUGGGGAAUAUUGGACAAUGGGCGAAAGCCUGUUACGGCCAUGCCGCGUGUGUGAAGAAGGUCUUCGGAUUGUAAAGCACUUUAAGUUGGGAGGCGUUACCAACAGAAUAAGCACCGGCUGACUUCGUGCCAGCAGCCGCGGUAAUAC
This 407-nucleotide ribosomal RNA is filed under the name uncultured bacterium. RNAcentral's name for it is "partial 16S ribosomal RNA". It matches the Rfam family "Bacterial small subunit ribosomal RNA", at positions 30 to 526 of the family's 1533-position model. The record is from RNAcentral.